AAGAAGAGGAGAGAUUAGAAUGAAAGAAGGCUUCUACUGGAUACAGCACAACGGCAGGGUUCAGGUUGCUUACUACACCCACGGCGUAACCGAGGACCUGGAAACUGGUCAGACUAUUAUUGGUGUCUGGCAUCUGACGCAGGGCGAUGACAUUUGUCACAACGGAGAGGCUGAGAUUCUGGCGGGACCGUUAGAACCUCCAAUUUAAUACAUAUUCCAUUUGAGGCUGCCAUUCGGCGGCCUUUUUU
Molecule: small RNA, 248 nt
Filed under: Salmonella enterica subsp. enterica serovar Typhimurium str. SL1344
Lineage: Bacteria; Pseudomonadati; Pseudomonadota; Gammaproteobacteria; Enterobacterales; Enterobacteriaceae
Also listed under: 1 other name
Description: IsrI
Rfam family: isrI Hfq binding RNA (bases 116-213)
Source: RNAcentral